CUCUCGCUCUCCCACUCCCUCCCUCUCGCUCUCCCACUCCCUCCCUCUCGCUCUCCCACUCCCUCCCUCUCGCUCUCCCACUCCCUCCCUCUCGCUCUCCCACUCCCUCCCUCUCGCUCUCCCACUCCCUCCCUCUCGCUCUCCCACUCUCGCCCUCCCUCUCGCUCUCCCACUCCCUCCCUCUCGCUCUCCCACUCCCUCCCUCUCGCUCUCCCACUCCCUCCCUCUCGCUCUCCCACUCCCUCCCCUCGCUCUCCCACUCCCUCCCUCUCGCUCUCCCACUCCCUCCCUCUCGCUCUCCCACUCCCUCCCUCUCGCUCUCCCUCUCCCACUCCCUCCCUCUCGCUCUCCCACUCCCUCCCUCUCGCUCUCCCACUCCCUCCCUCUCGCUCUCCCACUCCCUCCCUCUCGCUCUCCCACUCCCUCCCUCUUGCUCUCCCUCUCCCACUCCCUCCCUCUCCCUCCCUCUCGCUCUCCCUCACUCUCCCACUCCCUCCCUUUCGCUCUCCCUCUCCCACUCUCUUUCCCUCCCUCUCCCCCUCUCCCCCCCUCCAGCUUUCUGCUCUUACUUUCUCCUUUUCUACUUCGUUGUGCUUUAUAUUUGUAUAUUUGUCUUAUAUUACCUCUCUCUCUCUUAUGUUAAAUACAAACCUUGUUUAGGAACAUCACAGAAAGGUUUUAUGCUGCUUAUUUUCCAAAUCUAAUAGACUUGGAAGUUUUUAGGGUGAAGAAGAGCACUAUUCCCAUCAUAUACCGUGUGUAAGUGGAACGUGUAGAUUCAAGCAUGUUAGGAAACAUUACCCACACUAAACACCACACAUCUAGUGACAGGAUCCUAUAUUACCUCAUCGCCAGGGGACUGUUGUGUCAGAGGUAUUUUCAGACAGGACAGGGGACUGUUGUCAGAGGUAAGUCCAGACAGGACAGGGGACUGUUGCGUCAGAGGUAAGUCCAGACAGGACAGGGGACUGUUGCGUCAGAGGUAUUUUCAGACAGGACAGGGGACUGUUGCGUCAGAGGUAAGUCCAGACAGGACAGGGGACUGUUGCGUCAGAGGUAAUUCCAGACAGGACAGGGGACUGUUGCGUCAGAUAUUUUCAGACAGGACAGGGGACUGUUGCGUCAGAGGUAAGUCCAGACAGGACAGGGGACUGUUACGUCAGAUAUUUUCAGACAGGACAGGGGACUGUUGCGUCAGAGGUAAGUCCAGACAGGACAGGGGACUGUUGCGUCAGAGGUAAGUCCAGACAGGACAGGGGACUGUUGCGUCAGAGGUAAGUCCAGACAGGACAGGGGACUGUUGCGUCAGAGGUAAGUCCAGACAGGACAGGGGACUGUUGCGUCAGAGGUAAGUCCAGACAGGACAGGGGACUGUUGCGUCAGAGGUAAGUCCAGACAGGACAGGGGACUGUUACGUCAGAGGUAAGUCCAGACAGGACAGGGGACUGUUGCGUCAGAGGUAAUUCCAGACAGGACAGGGGACUGUUGCGUCAGAUAUUUUCAGACAGGACAGGGGACUGUUACGUCAGAGGUAAGUCCAGACAGGACAGGGGACUGUUGCGUCAGAGGUAAUUCCAGACAGGACAGGGGACUGUUGCGUCAUAGGUAAUUCCAGACAGGACAGGGGACUGUUACGUCAGAGGUAAUUCCAGACAGGACAGGACACUGUUGCGUCAGAGGUAAGUCCAGAC
Long non-coding RNA from Oncorhynchus keta (chum salmon), 1691 nucleotides. RefSeq lists it as uncharacterized. The record is from RefSeq and is a predicted model, not a curated record. NCBI's taxonomy places the organism in Eukaryota, Metazoa, Chordata, Actinopteri, Salmoniformes, Salmonidae. The transcript is spliced from 7 exons.